Molecule: ribosomal RNA, 201 nt
Filed under: Hetaerina miniata
Lineage: Eukaryota; Metazoa; Arthropoda; Insecta; Odonata; Calopterygidae
Description: partial large subunit ribosomal RNA
Source: RNAcentral
UAAAAAUUAAUUUACUUCGAAAAGUAUAAAUUUCAUUAGAGAAUCUUCUUUAACUUUAGUAUUUUUUUGAAAAAGUUAUUUUUGUAAUAGUUUAUUAGUACUGUAAAGUAAUAUUGAAAUAUUUUUAAAUAUUUAUUUUAUUAAAAGCAUACUGUUUGUAGUACCUUUUGUAUCAGGGAUGAUAAAUUAUAUUUAAUGUAU